Molecule: ribosomal RNA, 460 nt
Filed under: uncultured bacterium
Lineage: Bacteria
Description: partial 16S ribosomal RNA
Rfam family: Bacterial small subunit ribosomal RNA
Source: RNAcentral
CCUACGGGGCGCAGCAGUGAGGAAUAUUGGUCAAUGGACGAGAGUCUGAACCAGCCAAGUAGCAUGAAGGAUGACUGCCCUAUGGGUUGUAAACUUCUUUUAUAUGGGAAUAAAAUGUUCCACGUGUGGGAUUUUGUAUGUACCAUAUGAAUAAGGAUCGGCUAACUCCGUGCCAGCAGCCGCGGUAAUACGGAGGAUCCGAGCGUUAUCCGGAUUUAUUGGGUUUAAGGGGAGCGUAGGUGGAUUGUUAAGUCAGUUGUGAAAGUUUGCGGCUCAACCGUAAAAUUGCAGUUGAAACUGGCAGUCUUGAGUACAGUAGAGGUGGGCGGAAUUCGUGGUGUAGCGGUGAAAUGCUUAGAUAUCACGAAGAACUCCGAUUGCGAAGGCAGUUCACUGGACUGCAACUGACACUGAGGCUCGAAAGUGUGGGUAUCAAACAGGAUUAGAUACCCUUGUAGUC